GACGAACCGUGCGAACGUUGUUCGGAAUCACUGGGCUUAAAGGGCGCGUAGGCGGGCGACCAAGUCAGGGGUGAAAUCCCGCAGCUCAACUGCGGAAGUGCCUUUGAUACUGGUUGUCUCGAGGGAGGUAGGGGCAUGCGGAACUUCCGGUGGAGCGGUGAAAUGCGUAGAUAUCGGAAGGAACACCGGUGGCGAAAGCGGCGCGCUGGACCUCUUCUGACGCUGAGCCGCGAAAGCCAGGGGAGCGAACGGG
RNAcentral lists this ribosomal RNA (253 nucleotides) under uncultured bacterium. RNAcentral describes it as "partial 16S ribosomal RNA". It matches the Rfam family "Bacterial small subunit ribosomal RNA", at positions 524 to 776 of the family's 1533-position model. The record is from RNAcentral.